UCAACGGCCCUUCUCAGGGCCACCAAAUGAGUAAAUCACUUAUUA
This is a non-coding RNA of Rhodnius prolixus, 45 nucleotides long. The record is from Rfam. NCBI's taxonomy places the organism in Eukaryota, Metazoa, Arthropoda, Insecta, Hemiptera, Reduviidae.